Molecule: ribosomal RNA, 727 nt
Filed under: uncultured bacterium
Lineage: Bacteria
Description: bacterial SSU rRNA
Rfam family: Bacterial small subunit ribosomal RNA
Source: RNAcentral
AAACUUGAGCUAAUACCGGAUACGGCUUAGCGGCGAAAGAUUUAUCGCCGGAGGAUUGGCCCGCGUCCGAUUAGCUAGUUGGUGUGGUAAUGGCGCACCAAGGCGACGAUCGGUAGCUGGUCUGAGAGGAUGAUCAGCCACAUUGGGACUGAGACACGGCCCAAACUCCUACGGGAGGCAGCAGUGGGGAAUAUUGGACAAUGGGCGCAAGCCUGAUCCAGCCAUGCCGCGUGAGUGAUGAAGGCCUUAGGGUUGUAAAGCUCUUUCACCCACGACGAUAAUGACGGUAGUGGGAGAAGAAGCCCCGGCUAACUUCGUGCCAGCAGCCGCGGUAAUACGAAGGGGGCUAGCGUUGUUCGGAAUUACUGGGCGUAAAGCGCGUGUAGGCGGGUCUUUAAGUCAGGGGUGAAAUGCCAAGGCUCAACCUUGGAACUGCCUUUGAUACUGGAGAUCUUGAGUCCGGGAGAGGUGAGUGGAACUGCGAGUGUAGAGGUGAAAUUCGUAGAUAUUCGCAAGAACACCAGUGGCGAAGGCGGCUCACUGGCCCGGAACUGACGCUGAGACGCGAAAGCGUGGGGAGCAAACAGGAUUAGAUACCCUGGUAGUCCACGCUGUAAACGAUGGAUGCUAGCCGUUGGGGAGCUUGCUCUUCAGUGGCGCAGCUAACGCUUUAAGCAUCCCGCCUGGGGAGUACGGUCGCAAGAUUAAAACUCAAAGGAAUUGACGG